GCACAGACAUUUCUAUUUCAAAUGUGGUUACUGAUAACAUAUUCUAAGUGGGAUAUUGGUAACUUUUUGGUCUAACAAGUUUAUAUGACAGCUAUGUUUUGUUUUGAUGCAUUUUUCAAGCAGUCUGGUAUCUCAUUUAGGAAGGCUAGAACAAUACACUGAAAAAUGCCAGCUGUUACAAACUGCAUAACUAUUUUCUGUGCCAAAAAAGUAGAACUUUGAUCUUUUCUUCUUGAUCUAACCUAAAAUUCUGAGAAAGCAUUACAUCUUUUUAUUUUCCACAUCCGAGUUCAAAAACAGCACUUGCAUUUUCUCACAUCAGCUUGACUGUAGGUAGCUACCUCCUCUGAAUUUAAUUUUUCCAUGUAGGAGACAAAUAGAAUGGUUCAAUUCUUUGUGUAAAACAAGUCUUGCUAAUACUAGUAAUACCAGCACAGUUAAAAUCAGUGCCUUCCCUGUGGCUUUGAUCAGCCGUUCUCUGGAGCUUUCUAUAGGUCAUAAUCUUAUCCCUAUCUUUUACCAGGGGAGAAGAUAAGAUCCAUAAUGGUGUACUAUAAAACUGAUUGAGCAGGUAGUUAAUUUAUUCAGGAGGGCUGCAUUUCUGAUGCUACAUAAGGGCAAUUGGUGUGCUUUGGUUUCGAUUUUUGUUGGAUUUGUUGUGAGAGGCCAUGGCCUUCAAAAAAACAAGAUGGCAUUUCCCAAUGCUUACAGUGGUCUAGGCGCCUCUGCACUUUGUAGAUGCUGUUAUAUGCCUACAUAAUUGCCAGUCUAAAAGUUGUUUUGCUACACAAAAUAGCUAAAAAGAUGACAAAUCCUUCUAAAAACAGCAAUACUUCCACCUACUUUCCUUUGGACAGGCUUUUCAAACCUGGAUGUCACCACAGGAAGGGAUGAGGGCAGGGAGCAGGCUGGGGCUGUGGUCAAGGAGGGGGAACUUGCUAGGUGCCUAUUUGCACAUCCUGUACAGGCUGAGCAGGGGUUGCACUUUCCCCUUGACCUCCUGCAGCACAACUGAAUUGAGUCCUAAGAGCCGUACAAGAAAUCUGGCAUCAGUACGGCUUCAUUGUUGAGACGUCUCCUUCCUGCAAUUGUUUUUCCAUGGAUUCCUGCUCAGGGCAGGAGAGAAACCCAGCCAGCCUUCUGCUUUUCCCUCUGUAUCCUAGUUAUCCUAGCAAGGCAGUAGCCCUGUUUGCUACUAGGUCAUCCCACCUCCAGCUUGUAAGAGACCCCACAGGGCGAUGCCAUGGAGGUGGGCACACAGGCUUAUGUUCCUGAUCUCCAUCAGUUUGGGAUUGGUUAUGCUCAUCUCUGCACAGCAUGGCAAUGUAUUUUCCAAUAUAGACAGGAACAAAGUCAACUAAAUCCUUGUAAAAGCAAUGAAGGACCUGCUGUCCGAAGGUACCAGCCUAGUGAUUGGUGGUGGAGCAGCAGUGGAUUUUCUUUAGCUGUUGUUCUGAGACACAGACCUGUGUCGUUUGCUUUGGGUUUGUGAAGUUAUGACUCAGUAUUUAGGACUCCAAGGAAAGGCUUGGAGGUUUAAAUAAGCCUUAGCUUUUCAAUACUGUUCAGUGUCAGGAAGCAAGCAAAGCCAGCCCUCCCCUGUCAGGACACUGCUUGCUUUACCCUCCAAACUCUUCUUGGUGAGCUUUACUGUAACUUCACCCAGUGCCUGUGAAUUACUGCCACUAGGCAGCAGCAAUGGGGAUCCCUAACAGAGGUAACAAGACCUGUACUGCACACACACAGCUGUGUUUUUAGCUUCAUGCUCCACAUUAUGUCAUUUUAAAAGGCUCAAAUAUUAGUUCUGUGGAGGAAGACGCUGUAGUUGCUAUGGCAAGGCCUUAAUUCUCAUGCUUGGAGGUAGCAUAAAUGCAAUAGAAUUGCCUUCCCCCAGGCCACACUGAUGCACCCUCCCCGUGGGAAGUGUUCAGGGUCUAGGUCUAGAACCUGGAGGUGGGAGCCAGCUAGCAGGGCCUGGGAGAUGGCAGUAUCUGGCUUACAGUAAUGGAUCAUACGGUCCUUGCAGAAGUACAGGGAACAUGUGUCUUUUAGUUUACCAGUUCCUGGAAUCAUUUCUACAUUCCUUCUGGGAUGGAAAC
Pezoporus flaviventris is the source of this 2099-nucleotide long non-coding RNA. RefSeq lists it as uncharacterized. Lineage: Eukaryota; Metazoa; Chordata; Aves; Psittaciformes; Psittacidae. The record is from RefSeq and is a predicted model, not a curated record. The transcript is spliced from 3 exons.